AAAUGGCCUCCAACGUGAAUGUUUGUUGCCUUGAAAGACAUUCACAUCAAAACUUCAACCAAUCUCUCCUCCACACACACUUCCUCUUUAUACUAUUAAUUAAUCCACAUUCACUAUUUUAAACUUUUGUAAAGUGAUUAUGAGAAUAAUAAUGUUGGGGAGGCCCGAGUUUUCAUGGGAAGACACUGAUUAAACAAGGGACUGAAUUAAGAACUUGGGAUAAUUAUCAUUAUUUUCUCCCCGACUCC
Arabidopsis thaliana (thale cress) is the source of this 248-nucleotide long non-coding RNA. RefSeq annotates it as other RNA. The transcript has a single exon. The record is from RefSeq. NCBI's taxonomy places the organism in Eukaryota, Viridiplantae, Streptophyta, Magnoliopsida, Brassicales, Brassicaceae.